Molecule: non-coding RNA, 330 nt
Filed under: Serratia plymuthica
Lineage: Bacteria; Pseudomonadati; Pseudomonadota; Gammaproteobacteria; Enterobacterales; Yersiniaceae
Source: RNAcentral
AUGGUGGCUCAGGCGGGGCAGCCUUCGGGCUGGCCGGUAUCCAUUGAGGCCGGUAUUCCUACCCCCGUCUGGGCUACCACCCAUAAGUGUAGGAACUUCGGUGGUAGCAAUAACCAUUACUCAAUGGAGGCUGCCACCAUGGCUACGACCCUCACCCCGACUCAUCCUGAAUUCUGUUUCCUGUUUGCGGCCAUUCGCCGUACUGCCCUGACGGCAACCCCGUGCAUGCUGCGCACCGUGGCAAAUUCCGAGCACAACGCCCGCCGCCUGCUGGCGCGUGACUACAUUCUGUCGUUUGCGGGCCGUCUGCCUGUGCAGGGGGUGGCAUGA